UAGGGAAUUUUCCACAAUGGGCGAAAGCCUGAUGGAGCAACGCCGCGUGCAGGAUGAAGGCCUUCGGGUUGUAAACUGCUUUUAUUUGUGACGAUUUUGACGGUAGCAGAUGAAUAAGGAUCGGCUAACUCCGUGCCAGCAGCCGCGGUCAUACGGAGGAUCCAAGAGUUAUCCGGAAUUACUGGGCGUAAAGAGUUGCGUAGGUGGCAGAGUAAGUUGGUAGUGAAAGCGUUCCGCUCAACGGGAUACACAUUACCAAAACUGCUCAGCUUGAGAGUGGAAGAGGUCGCUAGAAUUCCUGGUGUAGGGGUGAAAUCCGUAGAUAUCAGGAGGAAUACCAAUGGCGUAGGCAGGCGACUGGUCCAUUUCUGACACUCAGGCACGAAAGCGUGGGGAGCGAUCG
Molecule: ribosomal RNA, 403 nt
Filed under: uncultured prokaryote
Description: bacterial SSU rRNA
Rfam family: Bacterial small subunit ribosomal RNA
Source: RNAcentral